RNAcentral lists this long non-coding RNA (702 nucleotides) under Oryza brachyantha (malo sina). Its description in RNAcentral is "long non-coding RNA (OBRA_LNC002261)". Lineage: Eukaryota; Viridiplantae; Streptophyta; Magnoliopsida; Poales; Poaceae. The record is from RNAcentral.
GUUGCCAAUGCUGCCAUCCCAACCUGUUCUAUCUGCUUUGUUGUUCGAGCAACAACACUUUUGAUAAUGCUAGCCAUCCUUGUUAGUUUGUAUUGCAAAACUCAUGUUCAUAUAGAGGAGAAAAAACGUAUUAAGUUGCAGCGAUGAACUUGCACAGUAAUCAAAUGAACUAAUUAAGUUAGGGCUGGGAUGCACGAGGAAUGACUAGGUGUGAGAAGCUUGUGCAACCAGCACCAAAUAAGAUGUUCAAGCAAGCUUUCAUGGCACUCCCGACAACAUCCUUCUACCUAGGAGCAACUUGUGGUCAACUAAUUGUUGGUUCCUACUAUCAUAAUGCCGAGCUACUUGGAAGUUUUCUUUCACUAAACAUUAAUCAUGCCCUCCUUUUAAACUAGAUUUAUACUUCAAAGACAAGUCAAGUCUAAACGUUCAUGCCUUUUCAUUCUCCUUUUCUCUGUCUUAUUGUUAGUCUAAAACCUCGUAGUUGCAGCAGUCAUCGGAAUAUUAGACACACAUUGCUACAACGGCAUGUUGCGUGUUGGCUAGGUUGUUGCUGCAGUGCAUUGGAUGACAAACCAUAACAAAAUAUAACAUUUGACAAAAUUAUUUUGAGACCUGAAUCAUAUCUUCAUUAGAACCAAACCCUUUUCUCCUAUUUCUAAGUUAACAAAAAAAAUUAUACUUUUUGUGACCGCUAUGGCU